UGGGGAAUCUUGCACAAUGGGGGAAACCCUGAUGCAGCGACGCCGCGUGAGCGAUGAAGGUUUUCGAAUCGUAAAGCUCUUUCCUAUGGGAAGAUAAUGACGGUACCAUGGGAGGAAGCCCCGUCUAACUACGUGCCAGCAGCCGCGGUAAUACGUAGGGGGCGAGCGUUGUCCGGAAUUACUGGGCGUAAAGGGUUCGCAGGCGGCAUUGCAAGUCCGAUGUAAAAGGCGAAGGCUCAACCUUCGUAAGCAUCGGAAACUGUCAAGCUUGAGGGAAGGAGAGGCAAGUGGAAUUCCUAGUGUAGCGGUGGAAUGCGUAGAUAAUAGGAGGAAUACCGGUGGCGAAGGCGACUUGCUGGACUUAAACUGACGCUGAGGAACGAAAGCGUGGGUAGCAAACAGG
This 403-nucleotide ribosomal RNA is filed under the name Fusobacteriota bacterium. RNAcentral describes it as "Fusobacteria bacterium partial 16S ribosomal RNA". It matches the Rfam family "Bacterial small subunit ribosomal RNA", at positions 355 to 776 of the family's 1533-position model. The record is from RNAcentral. Lineage: Bacteria; Fusobacteriati; Fusobacteriota.